GUGACCGCCCCCACUUGCCCCACCUAGUCCACCAGCUCCACCUGCUCAGUGAAAGGUUUUCAAGAAGCACCAAGCACCAGCACCAAGAGACGCAGCACAAAGCCUUCACCACAACACUCCACACUGCCUAAUCUUCGUCUAUUAAAGUUUGGUGAGAUGAUAAAGACUAUAUAUGGAUGUCCUGCCGCCACUGUUCCCGGGGUUUUCUCCGGGCCGCCUCCCCCCGGCGGUCCCCUAGCCAUCACCCUACCCC
Portunus trituberculatus (swimming crab) is the source of this 253-nucleotide long non-coding RNA. RefSeq lists it as uncharacterized. The record is from RefSeq and is a predicted model, not a curated record. Lineage: Eukaryota; Metazoa; Arthropoda; Malacostraca; Decapoda; Portunidae. The transcript has 3 exons.